This 2920-nucleotide ribosomal RNA is filed under the name Escherichia coli. RNAcentral's name for it is "23S ribosomal RNA". It matches the Rfam family "Bacterial large subunit ribosomal RNA". Lineage: Bacteria; Pseudomonadati; Pseudomonadota; Gammaproteobacteria; Enterobacterales; Enterobacteriaceae. The record is from RNAcentral.
GGGUUGUGAGGUUAAGCGACUAAGCGUACACGGUGGAUGCCCUGGCAGUCAGAGGCGAUGAAGGACGUGCUAAUCUGCGAUAAGCGUCGGUAAGGUGAUAUGAACCGUUAUAACCGGCGAUUUCCGAAUGGGGAAACCCAGUGUGUUUCGACACACUAUCAUUAACUGAAUCCAUAGGUUAAUGAGGCGAACCGGGGGAACUGAAACAUCUAAGUACCCCGAGGAAAAGAAAUCAACCGAGAUUCCCCCAGUAGCGGCGAGCGAACGGGGAGCAGCCCAGAGCCUGAAUCAGUAUGUGUGUUAGUGGAAGCGUCUGGAAAGGCGCGCGAUACAGGGUGACAGCCCCGUACACAAAAAUGCACAUGCUGUGAGCUCGAUGAGUAGGGCGGGACACGUGGUAUCCUGUCUGAAUAUGGGGGGACCAUCCUCCAAGGCUAAAUACUCCUGACUGACCGAUAGUGAACCAGUACCGUGAGGGAAAGGCGAAAAGAACCCCGGCGAGGGGAGUGAAAAAGAACCUGAAACCGUGUACGUACAAGCAGUGGGAGCACGCUUAGGCGUGUGACUGCGUACCUUUUGUAUAAUGGGUCAGCGACUUAUAUUCUGUAGCAAGGUUAACCGAAUAGGGGAGCCGAAGGGAAACCGAGUCUUAACUGGGCGUUAAGUUGCAGGGUAUAGACCCGAAACCCGGUGAUCUAGCCAUGGGCAGGUUGAAGGUUGGGUAACACUAACUGGAGGACCGAACCGACUAAUGUUGAAAAAUUAGCGGAUGACUUGUGGCUGGGGGUGAAAGGCCAAUCAAACCGGGAGAUAGCUGGUUCUCCCCGAAAGCUAUUUAGGUAGCGCCUCGUGAAUUCAUCUCCGGGGGUAGAGCACUGUUUCGGCAAGGGGGUCAUCCCGACUUACCAACCCGAUGCAAACUGCGAAUACCGGAGAAUGUUAUCACGGGAGACACACGGCGGGUGCUAACGUCCGUCGUGAAGAGGGAAACAACCCAGACCGCCAGCUAAGGUCCCAAAGUCAUGGUUAAGUGGGAAACGAUGUGGGAAGGCCCAGACAGCCAGGAUGUUGGCUUAGAAGCAGCCAUCAUUUAAAGAAAGCGUAAUAGCUCACUGGUCGAGUCGGCCUGCGCGGAAGAUGUAACGGGGCUAAACCAUGCACCGAAGCUGCGGCAGCGACNNNNNNNNNNNNNNNNNNNNNNNNNNNNNNNNNNNNNNNNNNNNNNNNNAUGCUGGAGGUAUCAGAAGUGCGAAUGCUGACAUAAGUAACGAUAAAGCGGGUGAAAAGCCCGCUCGCCGGAAGACCAAGGGUUCCUGUCCAACGUUAAUCGGGGCAGGGUGAGUCGACCCCUAAGGCGAGGCCGAAAGGCGUAGUCGAUGGGAAACAGGUUAAUAUUCCUGUACUUGGUGUUACUGCGAAGGGGGGACGGAGAAGGCUAUGUUGGCCGGGCGACGGUUGUCCCGGUUUAAGCGUGUAGGCUGGUUUUCCAGGCAAAUCCGGAAAAUCAAGGCUGAGGCGUGAUGACGAGGCACUACGGUGCUGAAGCAACAAAUGCCCUGCUUCCAGGAAAAGCCUCUAAGCAUCAGGUAACAUCAAAUCGUACCCCAAACCGACACAGGUGGUCAGGUAGAGAAUACCAAGGCGCUUGAGAGAACUCGGGUGAAGGAACUAGGCAAAAUGGUGCCGUAACUUCGGGAGAAGGCACGCUGAUAUGUAGGUGAAGCGACUUGCUCGUGGAGCUGAAAUCAGUCGAAGAUACCAGCUGGCUGCAACUGUUUAUUAAAAACACAGCACUGUGCAAACACGAAAGUGGACGUAUACGGUGUGACGCCUGCCCGGUGCCGGAAGGUUAAUUGAUGGGGUUAGCGCAAGCGAAGCUCUUGAUCGAAGCCCCGGUAAACGGCGGCCGUAACUAUAACGGUCCUAAGGUAGCGAAAUUCCUUGUCGGGUAAGUUCCGACCUGCACGAAUGGCGUAAUGAUGGCCAGGCUGUCUCCACCCGAGACUCAGUGAAAUUGAACUCGCUGUGAAGAUGCAGUGUACCCGCGGCAAGACGGAAAGACCCCGUGAACCUUUACUAUAGCUUGACACUGAACAUUGAGCCUUGAUGUGUAGGAUAGGUGGGAGGCUUUGAAGUGUGGACGCCAGUCUGCAUGGAGCCGACCUUGAAAUACCACCCUUUAAUGUUUGAUGUUCUAACGUUGACCCGUAAUCCGGGUUGCGGACAGUGUCUGGUGGGUAGUUUGACUGGGGCGGUCUCCUCCUAAAGAGUAACGGAGGAGCACGAAGGUUGGCUAAUCCUGGUCGGACAUCAGGAGGUUAGUGCAAUGGCAUAAGCCAGCUUGACUGCGAGCGUGACGGCGCGAGCAGGUGCGAAAGCAGGUCAUAGUGAUCCGGUGGUUCUGAAUGGAAGGGCCAUCGCUCAACGGAUAAAAGGUACUCCGGGGAUAACAGGCUGAUACCGCCCAAGAGUUCAUAUCGACGGCGGUGUUUGGCACCUCGAUGUCGGCUCAUCACAUCCUGGGGCUGAAGUAGGUCCCAAGGGUAUGGCUGUUCGCCAUUUAAAGUGGUACGCGAGCUGGGUUUAGAACGUCGUGAGACAGUUCGGUCCCUAUCUGCCGUGGGCGCUGGAGAACUGAGGGGGGCUGCUCCUAGUACGAGAGGACCGGAGUGGACGCAUCACUGGUGUUCGGGUUGUCAUGCCAAUGGCACUGCCCGGUAGCUAAAUGCGGAAGAGAUAAGUGCUGAAAGCAUCUAAGCACGAAACUUGCCCCGAGAUGAGUUCUCCCUGACCCUUUAAGGGUCCUGAAGGAACGUUGAAGACGACGACGUUGAUAGGCCGGGUGUGUAAGCGCAGCGAUGCGUUGAGCUAACCGGUACUAAUGAACCGUGAGGCUUAACCUUACAACGCCGAAGCUGUU